CAUCAGGAGGUUAGUGCAAUGGCAUAAGCCAGCUUGACUGCGAGCGUGACGGCGCGAGCAGGUGCGAAAGCAGGUCAUAGUGAUCCGGUGGUUCUGAAUGGAAGGGCCAUCGCUCAACGGAUAAAAGGUACUCCGGGGAUAACAGGCUGAUACCGCCCAAGAGUUCAUAUCGACGGCGGUGUUUGGCACCUCGAUGUCGGCUCAUCACAUCCUGGGGCUGAAGUAGGUCCCAAGGGUAUGGCUGUUCGCCAUUUAAAGUGGUACGCGAGCUGGGUUUAGAACGUCGUGAGACAGUUCGGUCCCUAUCUGCCGUGGGCGCUGGAGAACUGAGGGGGGCUGCUCCUAGUACGAGAGGACCGGAGUGGACGCAUCACUGGUGUUCGGGUUGUCAUGCCAAUGGCACUGCCCGGUAGCUAAAUGCGGAAGAGAUAAGUGCUGAAAGCAUCUAAGCACGAAACUUGCCCCGAGAUGAGUUCUCCCUGACCCUUUAAGGGUCCUGAAGGAACGUUGAAGACGACGACGUUGAUAGGCCGGGUGUGUAAGCGCAGCGAUGCGUUGAGCUAACCGGUACUAAUGAACCGUGAGGCUUAACCUU
Molecule: ribosomal RNA, 595 nt
Filed under: Escherichia coli
Lineage: Bacteria; Pseudomonadati; Pseudomonadota; Gammaproteobacteria; Enterobacterales; Enterobacteriaceae
Description: partial 23S ribosomal RNA
Rfam family: Bacterial large subunit ribosomal RNA
Source: RNAcentral